GAUGAACGCUGGCGGCGUGCCUAAUACGUGCAAGUCGAGCGAACAGACGAGAGUGCUUGCACUCUCUGACGUUAGCGGCGGACGGGUGAGUAACACGUGGGUAACCUACCUAUAAGACUGGGAUAACUUCGGGAAACCGGAGCUAAUACCGGAUAAUAUUUAGCUUCGCAUGAAGCAAUAGUGAAAGACGGUUCUGCUGUCACUUAUAGAUGGACCCGCGGUGUAUUAGCUAGUUGGUGAGGUAACGGCUCACCAAGGCAACGAUACAUAGCCGACCUGAGAGGGUGAUCGGCCACACUGGGACUGAGACACGGCCCAGACUCCUACGGGAGGCAGCAGUAGGGAAUCUUCCGCAAUGGACGGAAGUCUGACGGAGCAAUGCCGCGUGAGUGAAGAAGGUUUUCGGAUCGUAAAACUCUGUUGUAAGGGAAGAACAAGUACGUUAGUAACUGAACGUACCUUGACGGUACCUUACCAGAAAGCCACGGCUAACUACGUG
This 499-nucleotide ribosomal RNA is filed under the name uncultured bacterium. RNAcentral's name for it is "partial 16S ribosomal RNA". It matches the Rfam family "Bacterial small subunit ribosomal RNA", at positions 28 to 507 of the family's 1533-position model. The record is from RNAcentral.